AGAGGUCACACCCGUUCCCAUAUCGAACACGGAAGUUAAGCUCUUUAGCGCCAAUGGUAGUUGGGACUUUGUCCCUGUGAGAGUAGGACGUUGCCAGGC
This 99-nucleotide ribosomal RNA is filed under the name Priestia megaterium. Lineage: Bacteria; Bacillati; Bacillota; Bacilli; Caryophanales; Bacillaceae. The record is from RNAcentral.